RNAcentral lists this ribosomal RNA (511 nucleotides) under uncultured bacterium. Its description in RNAcentral is "bacterial SSU rRNA". It matches the Rfam family "Bacterial small subunit ribosomal RNA", at positions 28 to 528 of the family's 1533-position model. The record is from RNAcentral.
GACGAACGCUGGCGGCGUGCUUAACACAUGCAAGUCGAGCGGUAAGGCUCCUUCGGGAGUACACGAGCGGCGAACGGGUGAGUAACACGUGAGUAACCUGCCCCUUUCAUCGGAAUAACCAGUGGAAACGCUGGCUAAUGCCGAAUACGACCACCGAAGGCAUCUUCUGGUGGUGGAAAGCUCCGGCGGAAAGGGAUGGACUCGCGGCCUAUCAGCUUGUUGGUGAGGUAAUGGCUCACCAAGGCAACGACGGGUAGCCGGCCUGAGAGGGUGACCGGCCACACUGGUACUGAGACACGGACCAGACUCCUACGGGAGGCAGCAGUGAGGAAUCUUGGUCAAUGGACGGAAGUCUGAACCAGCCAUGUCGCGUGAAGGAGGACGGCCCUAACGGGUUGGUAAAACUUCUUUUUGCAGCGGGAAUAAAGUAAUUCCACGAGAUGGGAUAUUGCAAGUACGCUGCGAAUAAGGAUCGGCUAACUCCGUGCCAGCAGCCGCGGUAAUGCUACGU